AUGUUGACCGAUGCCAGCGCAUAGGCGAAACA
RNAcentral lists this non-coding RNA (32 nucleotides) under Geobacter sulfurreducens KN400. Lineage: Bacteria; Pseudomonadati; Thermodesulfobacteriota; Desulfuromonadia; Geobacterales; Geobacteraceae. The record is from RNAcentral.